RNAcentral lists this ribosomal RNA (465 nucleotides) under uncultured bacterium. RNAcentral's name for it is "partial 16S ribosomal RNA". It matches the Rfam family "Bacterial small subunit ribosomal RNA", at positions 338 to 795 of the family's 1533-position model. The record is from RNAcentral.
CCUACGGGUAGCUGCAGUAGGGAAUCUUCCACAAUGGGCGAAAGCCUGAUGGAGCAACGCCGCGUGGGUGAAGAAGGUCUUCGGAUCGUAAAACCCUGUUGUUAGAGAAGAAAGUGCGUGAGAGUAACUGUUCACGUUUCGACGGUAUCUAACCAGAAAGCCACGGCUAACUACGUGCCAGCAGCCGCGGUAAUCCGUAGGUGGCAAGCGUUAUCCGGAUUUAUUGGGCGUAAAGGGAACGCAGGCGGUCUUUUAAGUCUGAUGUGAAAGCCUUCGGCUUAACCGGAGUAGUGCAUUGUAAACUGGGAGACGUGAGUGCAGAAGAGGAGAGUGGAACUCCAUGUGUAGCGGUGAAAUGCGUAGAUAUAUGGAAGAACACCAGUGGCGAAAGCGGCUCUCUGGUCUGUAACUGACGCUGAGGUUCGAAAGCGUGGGUAGCAAACAGGAUUAGAUACCCCUGUAGUC